RNAcentral lists this ribosomal RNA (913 nucleotides) under uncultured archaeon. RNAcentral's name for it is "bacterial SSU rRNA". It matches the Rfam family "Archaeal small subunit ribosomal RNA", at positions 1 to 922 of the family's 1478-position model. The record is from RNAcentral.
UUCCGGUUGAUCCCGCCGGAGGUCACUGCUAUCGGGGUUCGAUUAAGCCAUGCGAGUCGAGAGGGUUCAGACCCUCGGCGGACUGCUCAGUAACACGUGGAUAAUCUGCCCUAUGGUGGAGGAUAACCCCGGGAAAGUGGGGAUAAUACUCCAUAAGUCAGGAGUACUGGAAUGUCUCCUAACUGAAAGUUUCGGCGCCAUAGGAUGAAUCUGCGGCCGAUUAGGUAGUUGUUGGGGUAACGGCCCAACAAGCCCGUAAUCGGUACGGGUUGUGGGAGCAAGAGCCCGGAGAUGGAAUCUGAGACACGAUUCCAGGCCCUACGGGGCGCAGCAGGCGCGAAAACUUUACAAUGCAGGAAACUGUGAUAAGGGAACCCCGAGUGCCCGUACACGCGGGCUGUCCCGGUGUUUAAAACACAUCGGAAGAAAGGGCCGGGCAAGACCGGUGCCAGCCGCCGCGGUAAUACCGGCGGCUCGAGUGGUGACCACUUUUAUUGGGCUUAAAGCGUUCGUAGCUUGAUUUUUAAGUCUCUUGGGAAAUCUCACGGCUUAACUGUGAGGCGUCUAAGAGAUACUGGGAAUCUAGGGACCGGGAGAGGUAAGAGGUACUUCAGGGGUAGAAGUGAAAUUCUGUAAUCCUUGAGGGACCACCGAUGGCGAAGGCAUCUUACCAGAACGGCUUCGACAGUGAGGAACGAAAGCUGGGGGAGCGAACGGGAUUAGAUACCCCGGUAGUCCCAGCCGUAAACUAUGCGCGUUAGGUGUGCCUGUAACUACGAGUUACCGGGGUGCCGAAGUGAAAACGUGAAACGUGCCGCCUGGGAAGUACGGUCGCAAGGCUGAAACUUAAAGGAAUUGGCGGGGGAGCACCACAACGGGUGGAGCCUGCGGUUUAAUUGGAUUCAACGCCGGG